This is a long non-coding RNA of Lycium barbarum (goji berry), 962 nucleotides long. RefSeq lists it as uncharacterized. The record is from RefSeq and is a predicted model, not a curated record. The transcript is spliced from 3 exons. Lineage: Eukaryota; Viridiplantae; Streptophyta; Magnoliopsida; Solanales; Solanaceae.
AUAUUAAUUUCUCUCAAUUACAAUUCCUUCAUGAUAAGCUUCAAAUAACAUUAAAAUAUACCCAAUAAUGUGUUGAGUCUCUUGAGUUUUCUAUUUCGCUUUAGAAAGAGAACGAAAGAUUUAAAGACAUAAGUAACCGAAAAAUAAGUCUACUUGAUAUCCAAAUCAAGUUUUAGUGCUUGGACAUGGGAAGAGAGAAUUGCUACUUCGGUUGGUUGCUACUAAUUUUUAUUGUGUUCUCCAGUGUUGCCUUUUGCCACGGUGACUUCUAAUGAACAAUGGGCUAAUACCAUUCUGCAAAUAUCACCUCAAAUUUCUUUUCUUUCCUCUCAUCCUUACAUAUAUGUUUAUUUACACAGAUAAGAGCUUGAAGUUUAAUUUGCUUUUGUUUGUUGUGUGUUUAUGUUGUUGAUUAAUUGCAGGAGAUGACUUUUCGUCAUGAUAUGGUUGGAAAACAUUACCCCAUUUUUGCGAUUAAUGAGAGGUGUAUACAGAUAAGUAGAGGAUAUUGCUAGAAGAUGUUCCAGCUGGAUUGGCGAGCUCCAUUUCUUUCCGGAGUGUUGCCGAGUCAGAGUAUCUAUGUUAUGCAUCAGAAAAAUAAAAAGGUGUUGUUGAAGGGCCCAGCUGAAGACGGAGUUUACAGGCUUCCUAUUGCUGCAUUAGAGUACAUUAAAGGAAAUAGCAAGGUUUUUAAAGCUGUUCGGACUGCUGCACUAGAUUGACAUGCUCGGCUUGGUCAUCCUCAAUAAUUAACAAUCUCUUGUAUUGUUAAUAAGUUUAGUUUGCCUAGUAAUUCAAUAAAUCAUCUGAUCUAUGUGAGGCUUGUUUUUUAGGCAAACAUAGUCGGAUUUCUUUACCCGUUACUGGUUCUAUUGCUAGUAGACCAUUGGAAUUGAUUCAUGGAGAUAUAUGGGACCAGCUCCCACCUUAUCUUUUAAUGGAGAUAAAUAUUUUGUUCUAUU